RNAcentral lists this long non-coding RNA (650 nucleotides) under Homo sapiens (human). RNAcentral's name for it is "long non-coding RNA NONHSAT254749". The record is from RNAcentral. Lineage: Eukaryota; Metazoa; Chordata; Mammalia; Primates; Hominidae.
AUGUUGCCCAGGCUGGCCUUGAAUUCCUGGCCUUGAACAAUCCUUUUGUCUCGGCCUCCCAAAGAGCUGGGAUUACAGGUGUGAGCCACUACACCCGGCCAUGCCUUCUAUCUUCUUUCUCUACUUUCAACACUUAAAUAUUUUUAGCCAGGUUUCAGCAGGAAAUGGAUGGACAUGAGGGCUCUGUCUGCCUGUUGGACCAGAAGCCCUUGCAUCUGAUCUAAACAAACCCCUUCUUGCCUUUGUUAGGGUUUCUGCUUGGUUUUAUUCACAAAAUUGACGUCUCAACUCUAAUAUUUAUGUUCUUGUCACAGACAACUGUGAUAGACUAAUCAGUUACCUAAUUGUCCUAAACCCAAUCUUUUAAUAAAAUCUGGUUUCUUAGGACCUGGAGCGACAGGUUUGCGAGAAAGCUCCUCCCUGGAUGAGGCCAAGAGCGUGGGAGUGAGUUCCAGGCUCCCAGAAGUGGGAAGUAUUUUGGAAGUAUUUUGGAUUUAGGCGGUAAAGAAUUCCCUAUAAAAAUAGCUGAACAGAUUGGCCUCAUAUCACUGUGGGACUUUCUUGGAACAUGAGGUGAGGUUAUGGGUUGGCUUGCAAAUAAAACCAAACACAUUUCCCAAUGAGGGAAUGGGGCUGUGGUUAGGAUGGGA